GACGAACGCUGGCGGCGUGCUUAACACAUGCAAGUCGAACGGAAAGGCCCUGCUUUUGUGGGGUGCUCGAGUGGCGAACGGGUGAGUAACACGUGAGUAACCUGCCCUUGACUUUGGGAUAACUUCAGGAAACUGGGGCUAAUACCGGAUAGGAGCUCCUGCUGCAUGGGGGGGGUUGGAAAGUUUCGGCGGUUGGGGAUGGACUCGCGGCUUAUCAGCUUGUUGGUGGGGUAGUGGCUUACCAAGGCUUUGACGGGUAGCCGGCCUGAGAGGGUGACCGGCCACAAUGGGACUGCGAUACGGCCCAGACUCCUACGGGAGGCAGCAGGGGGGAAUAUUGCACAAUGGGCGGAAGCCUGAGGCAGCAACGCCGCGUGCGGGAUGACGGCCUUCGGGUUGUAAACCGCUUUCGCCUGUGACGAAGCGGGAGUGACGGUAAUGGGUAAAGAAGCACCGGCUAACUACGUG
RNAcentral lists this ribosomal RNA (468 nucleotides) under uncultured bacterium. RNAcentral describes it as "partial 16S ribosomal RNA". It matches the Rfam family "Bacterial small subunit ribosomal RNA", at positions 28 to 507 of the family's 1533-position model. The record is from RNAcentral.